GGGUUGUGAGGUUAAGCGACUAAGCGUACACGGUGGAUGCCCUGGCAGUCAGAGGCGAUGAAGGACGUGCUAAUCUGCGAUAAGCGUCGGUAAGGUGAUAUGAACCGUUAUAACCGGCGAUUUCCGAAUGGGGAAACCCAGUGUGUUUCGACACACUAUCAUUAACUGAAUCCAUAGGUUAAUGAGGCGAACCGGGGGAACUGAAACAUCUAAGUACCCCGAGGAAAAGAAAUCAACCGAGAUUCCCCCAGUAGCGGCGAGCGAACGGGGAGCAGCCCAGAGCCUGAAUCAGUGUGUGUGUUAGUGGAAGCGUCUGGAAAGGCGCGCGAUACAGGGUGACAGCCCCGUACACAAAAAUGCACAUGCUGUGAGCUCGAUGAGUAGGGCGGGACACGUGGUAUCCUGUCUGAAUAUGGGGGGACCAUCCUCCAAGGCUAAAUACUCCUGACUGACCGAUAGUGAACCAGUACCGUGAGGGAAAGGCGAAAAGAACCCCGGCGAGGGGAGUGAAAAAGAACCUGAAACCGUGUACGUACAAGCAGUGGGAGCACGCUUAGGCGUGUGACUGCGUACCUUUUGUAUAAUGGGUCAGCGACUUAUAUUCUGUAGCAAGGUUAACCGAAUAGGGGAGCCGAAGGGAAACCGAGUCUUAACUGGGCGUUAAGUUGCAGGGUAUAGACCCGAAACCCGGUGAUCUAGCCAUGGGCAGGUUGAAGGUUGGGUAACACUAACUGGAGGACCGAACCGACUAAUGUUGAAAAAUUAGCGGAUGACUUGUGGCUGGGGGUGAAAGGCCAAUCAAACCGGGAGAUAGCUGGUUCUCCCCGAAAGCUAUUUAGGUAGCGCCUCGUGAAUUCAUCUCCGGGGGUAGAGCACUGUUUCGGCAAGGGGGUCAUCCCGACUUACCAACCCGAUGCAAACUGCGAAUACCGGAGAAUGUUAUCACGGGAGACACACGGCGGGUGCUAACGUCCGUCGUGAAGAGGGAAACAACCCAGACCGCCAGCUAAGGUCCCAAAGUCAUGGUUAAGUGGGAAACGAUGUGGGAAGGCCCAGACAGCCAGGAUGUUGGCUUAGAAGCAGCCAUCAUUUAAAGAAAGCGUAAUAGCUCACUGGUCGAGUCGGCCUGCGCGGAAGAUGUAACGGGGCUAAACCAUGCACCGAAGCUGCGGCAGCGACGCUGAUGCGUUGUUGGGUAGGGGAGCGUUCUGUAAGCCUGUGAAGGUGUACUGUGAGGUAUGCUGGAGGUAUCAGAAGUGCGAAUGCUGACAUAAGUAACGAUAAAGCGGGUGAAAAGCCCGCUCGCCGGAAGACCAAGGGUUCCUGUCCAACGUUAAUCGGGGCAGGGUGAGUCGACCCCUAAGGCGAGGCCGAAAGGCGUAGUCGAUGGGAAACAGGUUAAUAUUCCUGUACUUGGUGUUACUGCGAAGGGGGGACGGAGAAGGCUAUGUUGGCCGGGCGACGGUUGUCCCGGUUUAAGCGUGUAGGCUGGUUUUCCAGGCAAAUCCGGAAAAUCAAGGCUGAGGCGUGAUGACGAGGCACUACGGUGCUGAAGCAACAAAUGCCCUGCUUCCAGGAAAAGCCUCUAAGCAUCAGGUAACAUCAAAUCGUACCCCAAACCGACACAGGUGGUCAGGUAGAGAAUACCAAGGCGCUUGAGAGAACUCGGGUGAAGGAACUAGGCAAAAUGGUGCCGUAACUUCGGGAGAAGGCACGCUGAUAUGUAGGUGAAGUCCCUCGCGGAUGGAGCUGAAAUCAGUCGAAGAUACCAGCUGGCUGCAACUGUUUAUUAAAAACACAGCACUGUGCAAACACGAAAGUGGACGUAUACGGUGUGACGCCUGCCCGGUGCCGGAAGGUUAAUUGAUGGGGUUAGCGCAAGCGAAGCUCUUGAUCGAAGCCCCGGUAAACGGCGGCCGUAACUAUAACGGUCCUAAGGUAGCGAAAUUCCUUGUCGGGUAAGUUCCGACCUGCACGAAUGGCGUAAUGAUGGCCAGGCUGUCUCCACCCGAGACUCAGUGAAAUUGAACUCGCUGUGAAGAUGCAGUGUACCCGCGGCAAGACGGAAAGACCCCGUGAACCUUUACUAUAGCUUGACACUGAACAUUGAGCCUUGAUGUGUAGGAUAGGUGGGAGGCUUUGAAGUGUGGACGCCAGUCUGCAUGGAGCCGACCUUGAAAUACCACCCUUUAAUGUUUGAUGUUCUAACGUUGACCCGUAAUCCGGGUUGCGGACAGUGUCUGGUGGGUAGUUUGACUGGGGCGGUCUCCUCCUAAAGAGUAACGGAGGAGCACGAAGGUUGGCUAAUCCUGGUCGGACAUCAGGAGGUUAGUGCAAUGGCAUAAGCCAGCUUGACUGCGAGCGUGACGGCGCGAGCAGGUGCGAAAGCAGGUCAUAGUGAUCCGGUGGUUCUGAAUGGAAGGGCCAUCGCUCAACGGAUAAAAGGUACUCCGGGGAUAACAGGCUGAUACCGCCCAAGAGUUCAUAUCGACGGCGGUGUUUGGCACCUCGAUGUCGGCUCAUCACAUCCUGGGGCUGAAGUAGGUCCCAAGGGUAUGGCUGUUCGCCAUUUAAAGUGGUACGCGAGCUGGGUUUAGAACGUCGUGAGACAGUUCGGUCCCUAUCUGCCGUGGGCGCUGGAGAACUGAGGGGGGCUGCUCCUAGUACGAGAGGACCGGAGUGGACGCAUCACUGGUGUUCGGGUUGUCAUGCCAAUGGCACUGCCCGGUAGCUAAAUGCGGAAGAGAUAAGUGCUGAAAGCAUCUAAGCACGAAACUUGCCCCGAGAUGAGUUCUCCCUGACUCCUUGAGAGUCCUGAAGGAACGUUGAAGACGACGACGUUGAUAGGCCGGGUGUGUAAGCGCAGCGAUGCGUUGAGCUAACCGGUACUAAUGAACCGUGAGGCUUAACCUUACAACGCCGAAGCUGUU
Molecule: ribosomal RNA, 2930 nt
Filed under: Escherichia coli
Lineage: Bacteria; Pseudomonadati; Pseudomonadota; Gammaproteobacteria; Enterobacterales; Enterobacteriaceae
Description: 23S ribosomal RNA
Rfam family: Bacterial large subunit ribosomal RNA
Source: RNAcentral